This 209-nucleotide long non-coding RNA is filed under the name Elaeis guineensis (African oil palm). RNAcentral's name for it is "long non-coding RNA (EGUI_LNC019544)". The record is from RNAcentral. Lineage: Eukaryota; Viridiplantae; Streptophyta; Magnoliopsida; Arecales; Arecaceae.
AAUAUCAUUUCUAUCUAAAGUCUAUACAAUCACAUGUAUACAUCCAUAUAUAUCCAUAUAGUUAUUAUUUCUCUCUGUAGUCCAUACAAACAUCGAUACAUAACCAAACACAUUAAGGCAUUGAAUAAGAAUUGCCAACAAUCCAUAUAAUUAUCUGGACACAUUCAUACACAUUCACAUAAUUAUCAUUUUUAUCUAUAAUCCAUACA